GAAUUGCUCUGAUUGAGAACUUGCAUAUGGUUUGAUACUCAGUUGCAAAAACAAGGAGUGCACGAAACACACUUUAAAAGGCAAUUUAGCACACUGUAAAAGGAUCUAUGUGAUUGUAAGAUUGAUCUAUCAAUCAUUUAUACCUUUUUCUGGUCUGACUAUUGGAUCAUAUCCUGCUUGGGUCUACAUCCACCGGUGCCUCAUCAGUACGAUCGAUAGAUUCAUUGUAACUGCAGCCUUUGCUUGUCUGAAUUUUGUGCAGGUAAACAGCACAAGAGCAGCCUGUGCUAUCGUUUUAUGUCUUUGUUCUGCAUAGCAGCCUAUUCACCUACUCGUUGCAUGGCAGAUCAGGAUCAGUUAAGAACUUGCAUGGGAGAUGCUGAAUAUCACUCUAUCUUUCAAAGAGAAUAGCAUUAGCUUAUCUGUUGGCUGCCCUCCAGAAAUUUGGAUGUAGAUUAUGGAUUUGAAUUGUUGUUUUGUUCCUAAUCUGGUUCUCAUUAUAGUAUCUGAGCCACCGCAGAUCAUCCACUAUGUAUGCUAUGCACCUCUAUACUUAACAACUCCCUGCUAUUUUGGUGAAAUUGAGAAGAAUGUACAUUUAUGUCUUCAAUUAACAAUAUGCUGUUUUGUUGUAGCCAAGGAGCAGUUUGCUGAAGCUGAGAGGAAAGAAAGUAGCUAGGAGGUAUUUGUAUUGCCAUUUAUUCUAGAGCAACCAUCACAUUUUGAUUGGUUAGGUGGAUACUCUAUGUAAUUGCUUACAAUUUAAUAGACUGUAAUCAAAAUUUUUGUGUACCGUGAACCAUUUAUUUUAUGUAUUUUGAUCA
This is a long non-coding RNA of Panicum virgatum (switchgrass), 824 nucleotides long. RefSeq lists it as uncharacterized. Lineage: Eukaryota; Viridiplantae; Streptophyta; Magnoliopsida; Poales; Poaceae. The record is from RefSeq and is a predicted model, not a curated record. The transcript has 3 exons.